UACGGAGGGGGCAAGCGUUGUUCGGAAUUACUGGGCGUAAAGGGCUCGUAGGCGGCCAACUAAGUCAUACGUGAAAUCCCUCGGCUUAACCGGGGAACUGCGUCUGAUACUGGAUGGCUUGAGUUCGGGAGAGGGAUGCGGAAUUCCAGGUGUAGCGGUGAAAUGCGUAGAUAUCUGGAGGAACACCGGUGGCGAAGGCG
RNAcentral lists this ribosomal RNA (200 nucleotides) under uncultured bacterium. Its description in RNAcentral is "partial 16S ribosomal RNA". It matches the Rfam family "Bacterial small subunit ribosomal RNA", at positions 524 to 723 of the family's 1533-position model. The record is from RNAcentral.